GGAUUAGAUACCCUGGUAGUCCACGCCGUAAACGAUGUCUACUAGUUGUCGGUGGUCUUGUACUGCUGGUAACGCAGCUAACGCGAUAAGUAGACCGCCUGGGGAGUACGGCCGCAAGGUUAAAACUCAAAUGAAUUGACGGGGGCCCGCACAAGCGGUGGAGCAUGUGGUUUAAUUCGAAGCAACGCGAAGAACCUUACCUGGCCUUGACAUCCUGCGAACUUUCUAGAGAUAGAUUGGUGCCUUCGGGAACGCAGAGACAGGUGCUGCAUGGCUGUCGUCAGCUCGUGCC
Molecule: ribosomal RNA, 292 nt
Filed under: uncultured bacterium
Lineage: Bacteria
Description: partial 16S ribosomal RNA
Rfam family: Bacterial small subunit ribosomal RNA
Source: RNAcentral